This 496-nucleotide long non-coding RNA is filed under the name Sorghum bicolor (sorghum). RNAcentral describes it as "long non-coding RNA (SBIC_LNC007270)". Lineage: Eukaryota; Viridiplantae; Streptophyta; Magnoliopsida; Poales; Poaceae. The record is from RNAcentral.
GGCAUUCAAGGCAUGAUAGUGUAACAAAACAAUUAUAUGUUUCAUGCUCCAAUAUGAAUAUGAGUGAUAAGUGUAAAGCCUUGGUACUUAUAUUGCUUCUGUUUGUAUUCCUUGUACAAUGUAAGUCUCCCAUCAUCGACUACGCUUUAUCUUUGAAUUGGUUCUUGACAUAUAUAUAUAUAUAUAUACACACACACACACACACACACACACUACAUCCUCAUGAACACAUAAUCUAUCAGGUCAUCCUCAUGAGGAUAUCAUUGUUGGAACUACAAGGGGCCAAGCUGCUUUUAGCCUCACCAAAAUUGCACUUUGUCAACGGGAGAAACUUGAUAAUAAAAUGAUGUACUGCUGCACGCUUCAAAGGCCAAUAGUGUGCUAUGGCACUUUUAAGCUGUGUAAGACCAAUUGCUAUAGUCAUAAUCGCAAGUGACCGACUGCCCAUCCAGUCAAUGGUGCAUAAUCUAUGGAAAUCUCAAGGCCAUCUAAUUUG